CUGGGCCUCNGGGCCCNGAAAGCGGCCUGGUAAGUCUGCUGUGAAAGCCCACGGCUCAACCGUGGAANUGCAUUUGAAACUGCUAGGCUUGAGUAUCCCAGGGGAAGGUGGAAUUCCCGGUGUAGAGGUGAAAUUCGUAGAUAUCGGGAGGAAUACCGGUGGCGAAGGCGACUUUCUGGNUNAAUACUGACGCUGAGGCGCGAAAGCGUGGGGAGCAAACAGGAUUAGAUACCCCGGUAGUCCACGCCGUAAACGAUGUCNACUAGAUGCAGGGGGGUUGAUCCCCUCUGUGUCGCAGCUAACGCAUUAAGUUGACCGCCUGGGGAGUACGGUCGCAAGAUUAAAACUCAAAGGAAUUGACGGGGGCCCGCACAAGCGGUGGAGUAUGUGGUUUAAUUCGAUGCAACCCCGAAGANCCUUACCUGNCCUUGACAUCCCGAA
RNAcentral lists this ribosomal RNA (441 nucleotides) under uncultured delta proteobacterium. RNAcentral describes it as "bacterial SSU rRNA". It matches the Rfam family "Bacterial small subunit ribosomal RNA", at positions 554 to 993 of the family's 1533-position model. Lineage: Bacteria; Deltaproteobacteria. The record is from RNAcentral.